CCAAUCUGGAGGAUGUUUAUUGUCAAGAUACGGGGAAAUCAUUAAUGCCGAUACACUUGAGGGCCAGAGCGGCAUAUGGUACUUUUCGUGAACAAUAUAGGGGUGAUGAGAGGAAUCGGGAUAAGAUCACGGCAAAUCUCGAGUUAGUGGAGGGAUUUGAGACUGCAUCCAAGGAGGCUGCAUCUGUGUACAUGUCGCAGGAGGAGGAACAAACCGAG
Molecule: long non-coding RNA, 218 nt
Organism: Asparagus officinalis (garden asparagus)
Lineage: Eukaryota; Viridiplantae; Streptophyta; Magnoliopsida; Asparagales; Asparagaceae
Exons: 3
Source: RefSeq, a predicted model, not a curated record